CUAAGUCAUGGCCUGAAGCAGUGAUGGAGCACCUGGUGCAAGGCAGGGCCAGCCCAGGGGAGCUCAGGUGCAUGCAAUGCCAGGAGCCAGGAUCCACCCCUUCCCAGCCCUCAUUUAAGGGCUGGUAGUGGAGGUGAGGGGAUUUCAGUGCCCAUCCCUGCUUACCUGAGACUUUCUGAAGCCACAGGGUUCCUCCCGCAUGGUGUCCUGGUGGGAUGGGUCUGGAGCUGAAGCAGAGGAGCAGCACCACAGGAAAUGGACACUUGGCAUCGCCCUCGUUAAACCUCACCUGGGAUCGACUCCAUGGAAAGGAACAUGAAGGCAACUGGAUGAAAGGUGCCUGAGAAAGGAAGAUGUGAGGGCUCUGUGCUGACCAAACCUCCCCAGCGUGCCCGCAUUCCAUGCAGAGCCAAUGGCUGCCCACAGCAGACGGCCCCAUCCACGCAUGGUGCCAGGAAGGGCUAUGAGCACAUCGCAGAUUCCUGUUGGCAAAACAGGCCAAAGAAAGGCUACAAAAUAAAUAAUCACUUUCAUCUGAACUGCAGCAGAAGAGGCAAUAAAAUGAAAUGAAAGCACUGAGCGAAGCUGUUGUGUCUAACAGGAAUCCUGACCCCUGGUCUCAGCUCCCCUCUUUUAUGUUUUUCUGACUUCAGCACUAUUGUGGGCAGAUGCCUUUGAAUAUGAUUUAUUUGUUUGUCUUGGCAUCCAAACAAGGAGCCCCGGGACCAGAAAAUACGAUGGAGAGCCCACUUCCGAGUUCCCCUUCAGCCCCACGCACGCUGCCCCGUGUGCCUCGGAGAGGCUUCGUUACGCAGCGCAGCGGGGGGAGAGGAGGACGCAACAGUCGAUAGCCCUAAAACAAUGCGCCGGGCUGGCCCCGGGCCCGAAGGGUUGGACUCCAUUCCUCCAACUGUCAGGGAAACGGGGCUGGACUCAGGAGAGGGACGUGCCUCAUCCGAGCCCAUCCGUGCACGCACCGCGAGGGGCCGCGUUCAGCUCCACUCUGAGCCCCCCGGGCUGCGCUGCCGUGGGAGCAGGGGCUGUGUCCCGCUGUCCCUGGGGAGCAGGGCUGCCGCUGAGCUCCCCGGCGCUGAGCUGCUCGGCAUCGAGUGGGGCGAGCGCUGCCGCAGGCUUUGGCCGGGCGGUGCUAUCGGAAAGGGCUCCAAGAGCUUUCUUGGUGCGCGUCCAAACGUCUUUGUGUUUCCCAGCUUUUUGCUGUUGGAUUGCAGAGGACGAUUUAAAGCCGGAGCCAACUAUCUACCAGAAUGAAACAGUUUCACAAAUUGUAAGGCCAAAGGGACCAUUAGAUUACGCAGUCCAACCUUCUGUACAAGA
Molecule: long non-coding RNA, 1335 nt
Organism: Numida meleagris (helmeted guineafowl)
Lineage: Eukaryota; Metazoa; Chordata; Aves; Galliformes; Numididae
Exons: 4
Source: RefSeq, a predicted model, not a curated record